Molecule: long non-coding RNA, 1567 nt
Filed under: Chrysemys picta bellii (western painted turtle)
Lineage: Eukaryota; Metazoa; Chordata; Testudines; Emydidae
Description: lncRNA (ENSCPBG00000010613.1)
Source: RNAcentral
CUCCCUUCUGCUUCCAUCAGCAUGGGUUGGGAGACCAGAAGAGAGAUCUGGCAGUGGGAGGCACGGUAGGGGAAAGAGCUGGGAAGCCCCUCAGGAGUGGAGGUGGUCUGUGGGGAUCUGGAUCCAUGUAAUGGGGCAGGGCUGAGAGAUGGCUUCACCUCACUGGAUUCUUCCAUCCCCACAACCCUGAAGGAGAAACUCAAGCAAUUCACUGCAGGUUCCCCCACUAUGUCAUGAAACCCCACCCCAUCCUAAAGGGAAAGUCUGAGGGCAGUCACAGCUAGCUGAUAAGGAGCUAUGCAGAAGGAGCCAACAGUCUAAGAAAUUAGAAGUGCAUGGGAAGGGGGUUUCUGUUUGGCAGCCUUGCUGCUAUAGGCCCAAGAGAUCAAUAUGGAUUUUGUGAUAUCAUUAGGUUUAGAAUGUCUGCCUCUUCCCUGGCAGGAGGGUGCAUUCCAUUUCUCCAGCAAAAAAAUGAAGAGGAAGCUACAGUUUCCCACACUUAUAAUGCAGGUGAAACCCAAAUAGGAGAAGAUGGGGCCCUAUGUAAUGUACAAAAAAGGAGCUCCAUAAGAUUGGCAUUAUCCUGUAGUAGUGUCACAGCCUGCAGUCGUUUAAUGCCACUUCUUCUGAGGCCAGGAUUCCACGCCCAAGUGCAUUUAGUAGAAACCUUCUCUCUGUCUGCGCCCUGCUGCAUCUGUUGGGCUAGGAAGGAAUGUUUCACCAGUCUGCCACAAGGACAGUAUUCAUGGUUGUCUGGGGUAGGACAUUCUUAGUGGCAGUCUUUCACCUCUGGAGAUCAGUCUUGCUGGAAAUACAUCCAUGCCUGAACCUAGCCAUAUUUAGGACAGGAGGCAAGAACAUCACUUCAUUCAGGCUACUAGCUAAUAGCAGGUUCUGGAAUGCUCUGAUACUGAAUCCCUUGACAUUAAGUCUAUUGGAUGCUAUCAACUCUCUCUGGUCCUCUAAAGGAAGUUGAGCCAGCGGCUGCACAUAGUCAUGGAGCAUAUGUUCUCCCCACUCAUGCAAAGUUGUUUGGUACUUUCUUAAUCUAUGUAAAGUGAGCUUCAACACAAAAGGGUUAGCUGCAUUAUAAAUGCCUGAAAUAUUAAUAAUAAUGUGUGUGCUUUUUUAUGAGUUAAUAGAUGUGUGGGUAAUAGGUAUUAUAAGGAUUAUUGUAGAACACUACGCUAUACUUAACCAUCUGACUGUGAUCUCUGAAAGAGAGAUUGCAUACAUACGGUAUUUAACUCAUUUUUUGUUCUAGAACUAGCAGAUAGUAGCAAACACUUAUUUAUGGUUUUGGAUGUGUUUUGCUGUUUAGGAUAAGCAUUCUGUAAAAUGUGAUUGUUUUGCUUUGCUGUGAUUAUUGUUUUUGUUUUGAUCCUGAUGAGCUGGACCAAAGCUUCACUUUGAGGUUAGUUAAAACCUGCCCCAAAACUUGGUGGAACUCAGUAAAAUUUCUUGUGUGCCCUGGAAGACUCUAUGAACUGCUAGGGAACUGGUAGGAUUACUAUAUCACAUAUACCAAAGAAAUAAAAUCUGAUUCAGAUGGGACGGGAUUUGUGUU